RNAcentral lists this transfer RNA (52 nucleotides) under Nostoc sp. JR10114A. RNAcentral describes it as "partial tRNA-Leu". Lineage: Bacteria; Bacillati; Cyanobacteriota; Cyanophyceae; Nostocales; Nostocaceae. The record is from RNAcentral.
GGUAGACGCUACGGACUUAAAAUCCGYUGACCGUAGRAGGUCGUGUGGGUUC